GACGAACGCUGGCGGCGUGCCUAAUACAUGCAAGUCGAGCGGACUGAUUAAGAGCUUGCUCUUAUGACGUUAGCGGCGGACGGGUGAGUAACACGUGGGCAACCUGCCCUGUAGAUCGGGAUAACACCGAGAAAUCGGUGCUAAUACCGGGUAAUAUCUGAGAUCACAUGAUCUUAGGUUAAAAGAUGGCUCCGGCUAUCACUACAGGAUGGGCCCGCGGCCCAUUAGCUAGUUGGUAAGGUAAUGGCUUACCAAGGCGACGAUGCGUAGCCGACCUGAGAGGGUGAUGGGCCACACUGGGACUGAGACACGGCCCAGACUGCAACGGGAGGCAGCAGUGGGGAAUCUUCCGCAAUGGACGAAAGUCUGACGGAGCAACGCCGCGUGAGUGAUGAAGGGUUUCGGCUCGUAAAGCUCUGUUGUUAGGGAAGAAACAGUACCGAACGAACUAGGUCGGUACCUUGACGGUACCUAACCAGAAAGCCACGGCUAACUACGUG
RNAcentral lists this ribosomal RNA (500 nucleotides) under uncultured bacterium. RNAcentral's name for it is "partial 16S ribosomal RNA". It matches the Rfam family "Bacterial small subunit ribosomal RNA", at positions 28 to 507 of the family's 1533-position model. The record is from RNAcentral.